This is a long non-coding RNA of Salvia miltiorrhiza (redroot sage), 502 nucleotides long. RefSeq lists it as uncharacterized. The record is from RefSeq and is a predicted model, not a curated record. The transcript is spliced from 3 exons. NCBI's taxonomy places the organism in Eukaryota, Viridiplantae, Streptophyta, Magnoliopsida, Lamiales, Lamiaceae.
AGGCAGCGACGUGGGUGCAAUUCGAACCUCCGUUCUGUGCAGAUCGACGGCCAUUUCCGGUCGGAGGAUUUCAAAUCAGAAGUCAAUCUUUACUAAUCGACGGCGAUUUCUUGGCGGCGGACGUCGGCGGCUGCAAAUCAACGGCCAUUUAAGGGCGGCGGCUUUGAAACCGGAAUUUAGCGGCUUUGAUCCAAACCAAAGGACUUCGACGGUGGAGAUUUUGAAUCCGGCUCAUUAUGCCUCGUUCAAAGAAAGCACCUGCUAAUUUGGAUAACCAAGGGCGUCCGAAUGAUGACAAUGGGGAACGAUUUGAAAAGUUCUACAAUAUUUUAGCAGAGAAGAUUGCUGAAAAUAUUGUUAAACGGCGUGGAACAUGUAUAAUAAUAAGGACUUUAUAUAUUUUCAUUGAUUUUAAUUUAAUUUGUUGUAAAAAUAUUCAUUUAUAUUUGGUUAUUAAAUAAAUGGGAAUAGCUCCAAAAAUAAUGAAAAUGACGAUGCAAGA